This 465-nucleotide ribosomal RNA is filed under the name Vreelandella stevensii. Its description in RNAcentral is "partial 16S ribosomal RNA". It matches the Rfam family "Bacterial small subunit ribosomal RNA", at positions 338 to 795 of the family's 1533-position model. The record is from RNAcentral. Lineage: Bacteria; Pseudomonadati; Pseudomonadota; Gammaproteobacteria; Oceanospirillales; Halomonadaceae.
CCUACGGGUGGCAGCAGUGGGGAAUAUUGGACAAUGGGGGGAACCCUGAUCCAGCCAUGCCGCGUGUGUGAAGAAGGCCCUCGGGUUGUAAAGCACUUUCAGUGAGGAAGAACGCCUGGUGGUUAAUACCCAUCAGGAAAGACAUCACUCACAGAAGAAGCACCGGCUAACUCCGUGCCAGCAGCCGCGGUAAUACGGAGGGUGCGAGCGUUAAUCGGAAUUACUGGGCGUAAAGCGCGCGUAGGUGGCUUGAUAAGCCGGUUGUGAAAGCCCCGGGCUCAACCUGGGAACGGCAUCCGGAACUGUCAAGCUAGAGUGCAGGAGAGGAAGGUAGAAUUCCCGGUGUAGCGGUGAAAUGCGUAGAGAUCGGGAGGAAUACCAGUGGCGAAGGCGGCCUUCUGGACUGACACCGACACUGAGGUGCGAAAGCGUGGGUAGCAAACAGGAUUAGAUACCCUAGUAGUC